CAGUAGCCACGGGAAUACGAAGGGGGCUAGCGUUGCUCGGAAUUACUGGGCGUAAAGGGAGCGUAGGCGGGUCGUUUAGUCAGAGGUGAAAUCCCGGGGCUCAACCUCGGAACUGCCUUUGAUACUGGCGACCUUGAGUAUGGGAGAGGUGAGUGGAACUCCGAGUGUAGAGGUGAAAUUCGUAGAUAUUCGGAAGAACACCAGUGGCGAAAGCGACUCACUGGCCCAUUACUGACGCUGAGGCUCGAAAGCGUGGGGAGCAAACAGGAUUAGAUACCCCGGUAGUCCCUGUCUUUAUACA
This 301-nucleotide ribosomal RNA is filed under the name uncultured bacterium. RNAcentral's name for it is "partial 16S ribosomal RNA". It matches the Rfam family "Bacterial small subunit ribosomal RNA", at positions 509 to 809 of the family's 1533-position model. The record is from RNAcentral.